GUAUGAUUGAGCAUCCUUUGGGUAUAUACCCAAGAGUGGUAUUGCUGCUUCUUGAGGUAAGUUGUUUUCUAAUUUUCUGAUACAUUGCAGCACUGAUAUCCAAAGCAGCUGUAUCAGUUUGCUCUCCCACCAACAAUGGAGGAGUGUUCCCUUUACCCCACAUCCUCGCCAGCAUAAGUUGUCAUCAGCGCUCUUGAUCUUGGCCAUUCUUUCAGGUGCUUCAAGUUCUCACGCAUGUGGUGCUUCACCCCACUGAAAGUGCUAACGGACUGGACUGUAGGAGAGGCACAGCUUGAAGCGCAUCGGAAACUAAAACCAUCAACAGGGUUCGCUGCUUCAAUCUUCUCACUGUCCAAAUGGCAAAAGCUUUUGACACCCGGAUUGCUUGCUGCUCUCCACAUUUGCUUGAAAGCCUGGUGACAUCAAAAAAAGCAGAAAGCAAGCAGGAACAGAAGAUAACCCAAGAGCAAGGACAUGGCAA
Molecule: long non-coding RNA, 481 nt
Organism: Alexandromys fortis (reed vole)
Lineage: Eukaryota; Metazoa; Chordata; Mammalia; Rodentia; Cricetidae
Exons: 3
Source: RefSeq, a predicted model, not a curated record